This 217-nucleotide ribosomal RNA is filed under the name uncultured fungus. RNAcentral's name for it is "partial small subunit ribosomal RNA". The record is from RNAcentral. Lineage: Eukaryota; Fungi.
GAUCGCGAAUUCCGGUCCUCCCGCAAGGGUUGUGUACUAAGCUUUUGCGGUCAUCCUCGAGGAGAAUGUGUCGGGCAUUCAGUUGUUUGGCACAGGACCCUCGUCAUUUACUGUGAGCAAAAUAGGGUGUUCAAAGCAGGCUUAUGCCGUUGAAUAUCUUAGCAUGGAAUAAUAAGAUAAGACCUUGGUCUAUUUUGUUGGUUUGCUGUCCAAGGUA